RNAcentral lists this ribosomal RNA (406 nucleotides) under uncultured bacterium. Its description in RNAcentral is "partial 16S ribosomal RNA". It matches the Rfam family "Bacterial small subunit ribosomal RNA", at positions 28 to 526 of the family's 1533-position model. The record is from RNAcentral.
GAUGAACGCUGACAGCAUGCUUAACACAUCAGCAAUUGAUUGGUGGCGGACGGGUGAGUAACGCCUAAAGAACUUCCCUCACAGGUAGUGCCAACAUGUGGAAACUAAUGCUAAUACCUAAUACUGUGAGAGAUCGUUUCGUCCCAUUAGCUCGUUGGAGAGGUAACGGCUCACAAAGGCGAUGAUGGGUAGCCGGCCUGAGAGGGUGAUCGGCCACAAGGGGACUGGGACACGGCCAUUACUCAUACGGGAGGCAGCAGUGGGGAAUAUUGGACAAUGGACCAAAGUCUGAUCCAGCAAUUCUGUGUGCACGAUGAAGUUUUCGGAAUGUAAAGUGCUUUCAGUUGGGAAGCGGUACCAACAGAAGAAGUGACGGCUAACUACGUGCCAGCAGCCGCGGUAAUUC